Molecule: ribosomal RNA, 301 nt
Filed under: uncultured bacterium
Lineage: Bacteria
Description: partial 16S ribosomal RNA
Rfam family: Bacterial small subunit ribosomal RNA
Source: RNAcentral
CAGCAGCCGCGGUAAUACGAAGGGGGCUAGCGUUGUUCGGAUUUACUGGGCGUAAAGGGCGCGUAGGCGGACUGAUAAGUCAGGGGUGAAAUCCCAAGGCUCAACCUUGGAACUGCCUUUGAUACUGUUUGUCUUGAGUUCGAGAGAGGUAAGUGGAACUGCGAGUGUAGAGGUGAAAUUCGUAGAGAUGUGGAGGAACACCAGUGGCGAAGGCGACUCUCUGGUCUGUAACUGACGCUGAGGAGCGAAAGCGUGGGGAGCGAACAGGAUUAGAUACCCCAGUAGUCCCUGUCUCUUAUAC